CUUAUUGGCGAAGGCCCCUGGCCUUCAAGGGUGUUAUUUCGAACUUAUCGUAAUAAUAACCAUCUUCGUUCGAUCGAGGUCAAACUCUUCUUUUUGGCGAAGGCCCCUAGCCUUCAAGGGUGUUAUUUCGAACUUAUCGAAAUAUUAAGCCGUCGUCGUUCGAUCGAGGUUGAACUCUUGUUUUUAGCUAAGGCCCCAGGCCUUAAUGCGUGUUAUUUCGAAUUUAUCGAAAUAGUAACCCGUUAUCGUUCGAUCGAGAUAGAACUCUUUUUUUUUGCGAAGGCCCUUGGCCUUAAAGGGUGAUAUUUCGAACGUAUCGAAAUAGUAAUCCAUCUCCGUUCGAUCGAGGUCAAACACUUCUUAUUGGCGAAGGCCCCUAGCCUUCAAGGGCGUUAUUUCGAACUUAUCGAAAUAUUAAGGCGUCGUCGUUCGAUCGAGAUCGAACUCUUCUUUUUGGCAAAAGCCCCUGGCCUUAAAGGGUGUUAUUUCGAACUUAUAAAAAUAGUAACCCGUCGUCGUUCGAUCGAGGUCGAACUCUUCUUCCCUGGCCUUUAAGGGUGUUAUUUCGAGCUUAUCGAAAUAGUCACCCGUCGUCGUUCGAUAGAAGUUGAACUCUUCGUUUUAGCGAAGGCCCCUGGCCUUCAAGGGUGUUAUUUUUAACAUAUCGAAAUAGUUACCCGUCGUCUUUUGAUCGACGUCGAACUCUUGUUUUUGGCGAAGGCCCCUGCCCUUAAAGGGUGUUAUUUUGAACUUAUCAAAAUAGAAACCCAUCGUCGUUCGAUCGGGGUCGAACUCUUCUUUUUGGCGAAGGCCCCUAGCCUUCAAGAGUGUUAUUUCGAACUUAUCGAAAGAGUAACCUGUCGUCGUUCGAUCGAGGUCUAACUCUUCUUCCCUGGCCUUACAGGGUGUUAUUUCGAGCUUAUCGAAAUAGUCACCCGUCGUCGUUCGAUAGAAGUUGAACUCUUCGUUUUAGCGAAGUCCCCUGGCCUUCAAGGGUGUUAUUUUUAACAUAUCUAAAUAGUUACCCGUCGUCUUUUGAUCGACGUCGAACUCUUGUUUUUGGCGAAGGCCCCUGGCCUUAAAGGGUGCUAUUUUGAACUUAUCAAAAUAG
RNAcentral lists this long non-coding RNA (1111 nucleotides) under Nicotiana tabacum (common tobacco). RNAcentral describes it as "long non-coding RNA (NTAB_LNC018622)". Lineage: Eukaryota; Viridiplantae; Streptophyta; Magnoliopsida; Solanales; Solanaceae. The record is from RNAcentral.